AGUGAACGCUGGCGGUAGGCCUAACACAUGCAAGUCGAACGGCAGCACAGUAAGAGCUUGCUCGUACGGGUGGCGAGUGGCGGACGGGUGAGGAAUAUAUCGGAAUCUACUUUUUCGUGGGGGAUAACGUAGGGAAACUUACGCUAAUACCGCAUACGACCUACGGGUGAAAGCAAGGGAUGUUCGGACCUUGUGCGAUUGAAUGAGCCGAGGUCGGAUUAGCUAGUUGGCGGGGUAAAGGCCCACCAAGGCGACGAUCCGUAGCUGGUCUGAGGGGAUGAUCAGCCACACUGGAACUGAGACACGGUCCAGACUCCUACGGGAGGCAGCAGUGGGGAAUAUUGGACAAUGGGCGCAAGCCUGAUCCAGCCAUACCGCGUGGGUGAAGAAGGCCUUCGGGUUGUAAAGCCCUUUUGUUGGGAAAGAAGAGCAGCAGGUUAAUACCCCGCUGUUCUGACGGUACCCAAAGAAUAAGCACCGGCUAACUUCGUG
This 492-nucleotide ribosomal RNA is filed under the name uncultured bacterium. RNAcentral describes it as "partial 16S ribosomal RNA". It matches the Rfam family "Bacterial small subunit ribosomal RNA", at positions 29 to 507 of the family's 1533-position model. The record is from RNAcentral.